UGCACUUAGAGUUUUGAUCUCUAAAGGAUAGGUUCGAGUCCUAUUUUUUUAGGAA
Molecule: transfer RNA, 55 nt
Filed under: Pseudoeurycea saltator
Lineage: Eukaryota; Metazoa; Chordata; Amphibia; Caudata; Plethodontidae
Description: partial tRNA-Gln
Source: RNAcentral